RNAcentral lists this ribosomal RNA (595 nucleotides) under uncultured fungus. Its description in RNAcentral is "eukaryotic LSU rRNA". The stretch from base 217 to 370 matches the Rfam family "5.8S ribosomal RNA". Lineage: Eukaryota; Fungi. The record is from RNAcentral.
CUUGGUCAUUUAGAGGAAGUAAAAGUCGUAACAAGGUCUCCGUUGGUGAACCAGCGGAGGGAUCAUUACCGAGUUUACAACUCCCAAACCCCUGUGAACAUACCAAUUGUUGCCUCGGCGGAUCAGCCCGCUCCCGGUAAAACGGAACGGCCCGCCAGAGGACCCCUAAACUCUGUUUCUAUAUGUAACUUCUGAGUAAAACCAUAAAUAAAUCAAAACUUUCAACAACGGAUCUCCUGGUUCUGGCAUCGAUGAAGAACGCAGCAAAAUGCGAUAAGUAAUGUGAAUUGCAGAAUUCAGUGAAUCAUCGAAUCUUUGAACGCACAUUGCGCCCGCCAGUAUUCUGGCGGGCAUGCCUGUUCGAGCGUCAUUUCAACCCUCAAGCCCCCGGGUUUGGUGUUGGGGAUCGGCGAGCCUCACGGCAAGCCGGCCCCGAAAUACAGUGGCGGUCUCGCUGCAGCUUCCAUUGCGUAGUAGUAAAACCCUCGCAACUGGUACGCGGCGCGGCCAAGCCGUUAAACCCCCAACUUCUGAAUGUUGACCUCGGAUCAGGUAGGAAUACCCGCUGAACUUAAGCAUAUCAAUAAGCGGAGAA